UAGAUUCUCGGGCUGGAGAGCAUGCCUCGCCAACUGUCGUUGACCGGGUCUCCUCAAAUCAACCCUUAGCAAGAAUACAGCAGGAAUGGCUUUAUGUUUCUUGCAGGAAAUUGGCCUCGCGGAUGACGUGCUUCCUGGUGACUUCCUGGUCGAGGUGACCAAUAACAUCCUGGUCGAGGUGAUGUGCUGGAGGUCACCACAUAUUUUUCUAGUCGAGAUGAUCUGCUCAACCAUUUGCUCACUUUUACUUUGAGGAGAGCACGAUAAUGUAUGAGAAAACACCUUUAUCUUGGUCACCCUAUUUCAUUCCCUAAACACCAGUCCCCCAGUUUCUAGUGUUGAGAGUGAAACGAAUCAAGACUGGAAACUUUAGUGGUCUGCUCGUCUUCGCUUAGUUGAGCAGAUCCUGGUAUGCUUGGCUUUCUGUCUCGCCAUGAAACAGGCUUUGAGACUUUGGUGAGCCUUUGCAUGCCUUAGGAAUUUUUACAACGUUUGGGAGUCUGCUCGCCUUCGCUUGGUCGAGCAGAUCCUAGCAAGCUUGGCUUCUGGUCUCGCCAUAAAUAGGCUUUGAGACUUGAUGAGCCUUUGCAUGCCUUAGUAAAUUCUUCAAUGCUUGGGAUUCUGCUCGCCUCCUCGUGGUCGAGCAGAUCCUCGCACGCUUGGAUUCUGUCUCGCCAUAAACAUGCUUUGAGACUUGGUGAGCCUUUGCAUGCCUUAGUAAAUUCUUCAAUGCUUGGGAUUCUGCUCGCCUCCUCGUGGUCGAGCAGAUCCUGGCACGCUUGGCUUCUGUCUCGCCAUAAAACAGGCUUUGAGACUUGGUGAGCCUUUGCAUGCCUUAGUAAUUCUUCAAUGCUUGGGAUUCUGCUCGCCUUCUCGUGUUCGAGCAGAUCCUGGCACGCUUGGCUUCGGUCUCGCCAUAAAUUGAGACUUGAUGAGCCUUUGCAUGCCUUAGUAUAUUCUUCAAGGAUUGGGAUUCUGCUCGCCUUCUCGUGGUCGAGCAGAUCCUGGCACGCUUGGCUUCUGUCUCGCCAUAAAACAGGCUUUGAGACUUUGAUGAGCCUUUGCACCUUUGAUUCUUCAGGAUUGGGAUUCUGCUCGCCUUCUCGUGGUCGAGCAGAUCCUGGCACGCUUGGCUUCUGUCUCGCCAUAAACAGGCUUUGAGACUUUGAGCCUUUGCAUGCCUUUGAUUCUUCAAGGAUUGGGAUUCUGCUCGCCUUCUCGUGGUCGAGCAGAUCCUGGCACGCUUGGCUUCUGUCUCGCCAUAAAACAGGCUUUGAGACUUUGAGCCUUUGCAUGCCUUUGAUUCUUCAAGGAUUGAGAUUCUGCUCGCCUUCUCGUGGUCGAGCAGAUCCUGGCACACUUGGCUUCUGUCUCGCCAUAAGACAGGCUUUGAGACUUUGAGCCUUUGCAUGCCUUUGAUUCUUCAAGGAUUGGGAUUCUGCUCGCCUUCUCGUGGUCGAGCAGAUCCUGGCACAUCUGCUCGAAGGUUUUAAUGCUCCCCCGAGGAAGUUUCCUGUACCACUCUCGUGCACGUCCCUCAAGGGAUAGUGGGAACACCCUGCACCUUUGGGAUUGAGAUAAUCCUUAUACUCCAGUUAUGUCGUUGAAACGCUCUAUGUGCACCAGCGGAUCCGUUCGUCCCGAAUACCUAAGGUCUGGGAGGCGGAAAUCUCUCGGAAUAACUGCCCUCAUGAUCUCUGCUGCGAGCGGUGAUUCUCCGUCCAGCAUUAUCCUUCAACCAGGAGCUCUGCUCCUUCCUUGCAUGUCGUCAAUUAUCUGCGCUAGUCUGCGCACUUCCUCCUCCAGCUGCACUGCGCGACCAGGGUCACGUGCUGCAGCUUGAUCCCGCUCUUGCUCUACAUCAAGCAAGUGUUGCCUCAACUCCGUUUCCUUUGCAUUUGCCACCCCGUCGUCCUCGUCAAAAAUCUGUCUUGCCGGGGAUUGCUCUUCCUCUCUACGGAAUUCUCCCUGCAGAGGUAUGUUACCUCUCUCACCACCAAAUCUCCCGGUGGUUUGACUUCUCCUCGUACUAUCGGGACCUGGAGCCACUCCCCCAACUCUCAUCCUUUCCUUCUGGGUUACCCUUCGUUCACUCCGCAACUCAUGCAGGAUGGUUGUCAGGGUCUCCAUCUGCUUUUCCAUCCGUUCCAUCCGGUCGAACAUGGCUUUUUCCCGUGCUUCACUGGCUAUCUCCCUCAGAGUCACGGAAUCGUUAAGCCUCAUAUCACUCCCUUGUGCACUACUUCCUCCUGUCUCCAUUGCUUUUCACUUGCUUCACUCCUCUUCUUGCUAUCAACAGAAGCUUUUUGCUCAGCUCCCCACAGACGGCGCCAAAAUGUUGAUGCGAGAUUCUGGUUCUCCUCGUUCUACUACCAGGCUCUCUGCUCGAUCAACUUCACCACGACCAGGAGGUCUCCUCGUAAGGCUUCUUCUCCAGAGGUUCCUGCGCACACAGACAAGUCAGAGUACGCCGGUUGUUUUCCCGGCGCAAACCCUCCGACGCUCAAGUCAGAUAUGAAGGUUCGGGGAACGCUUGCCACAGAUCUUAUGGCUUUUUCGUAGUUUUCUCUUCUUUAGAAUUUCUUUAGCUCUCUUCUAAUCUCAAAAUUGCUAACCCUUUUACCUUCGUUGGCUACCUUUUUAUAGGCUUCCUCUGAAUCCCAGUUUUCCGCAGCCUACGUCCGUUGUCCUCCCACCUCUCGAACGUGGAUUCCCCAUUUCCGUAGUCAUGGGUGGUUGCGUGGCCUUCGUGCCUAGAUUCUCGGGCUAGAGAGCAUGCCUUGCCAACUGUCGUUGACCGGGUCUCCUCGAAUCAACCCUUAGCAAGAAUACAGCAGGAAUGGCUUUAUGUUUAUUGCAGGAAAUUGGCCUCGCGGAUGACGUGUUUCCUGGUGACUUCCUGGUCGAGGUGACCAAUAACAUCCUGGUUGAGGUGAUGUGCUGGAGGUCACCACAUAUU
RNAcentral lists this long non-coding RNA (2959 nucleotides) under Citrus x clementina. Its description in RNAcentral is "Citrus clementina (C. clementina) long non-coding RNA (CCLE_LNC000707)". The record is from RNAcentral. Lineage: Eukaryota; Viridiplantae; Streptophyta; Magnoliopsida; Sapindales; Rutaceae.